AAAACAUUAUCCUUCAUUGCCACACUCUUCAUCUUUCUCACUCCAUUCAUCAUAACCCCACCCAUUAAAAGAGUCCUCCGUGACUUGACUUCGGUGUCAUAAAGAUCAAUUAUUCAGAGAAGCAAACGAUAGCUACGAAACUUUUUGGAUUCCCACAUCUUUUCAUCUCAUAUAAACCUUCGUUCACAUUCCAAUUAUACACAUUAUUCACCAUAUCUGAAAAAAGCUACAUCAAAUGGCUUUCAGAACCGUGAAAUCUUCCGGUAAAGCUCCACCGCUCAGUUCUUCAGUGACCUCACUCCGGGGUUUGGAGAGACUGAAUUGCGAUUUCUGUUAUGCAAUUUUGGGAAGCAAGUAAGGGGGCAUAUCAAUUGGGCUAGAGAUUCUGCUCAUCUUUGUACAUGGUACUGUCAUUGAAGGGUUUAUCUCCAAAUCGGGUUUCCCAAUCGCCUAAACCGUGGAACCAUCUUUAGCUUUGCCACGAUUUCACGUGAAAUAACCAAAUUUUAUAACCGUCUUUGUUCUUGCACAUCACAGAUAUGCAAUCUUCAACCCAAAAGUAAAAUUCUUAUUCUUUCUCACGUACGGUUGCUCCCACAACCAAAUCAUAUACUGGAUAUACCUAACCAUCUCCAAAAUUGCAACUCUAACAUGUCACGCAUACAGAGUUAUGUACGUUGCGGUCUCACCUGAUGGAAAAACGAUUGUAACCAGAGCACGAGAUGAAACCUUAAGGUUCUGGAAUGUCUUCCCGUCCAUGAAAACUCAGUCUCUAUACGCAGAACGAGGCAAUGCGGUUGGGUGAGAAUAGCAUGCCUCGCUGAUUAUGAGAUAUAUAUCGGCCUGAUUAAUGUGAUUUAAAACAACAUGAGGUAGAUCAGCGCAGCGGAUUCGACAGGACAACAUCAGCGUUCUCAUCGGCCCCACUAGACACUCCCACCGCCGAUCACCAGGUUCGCUUCUAUUCCUUAAAAAUAACUCGAAUAAGCAGUCAAUUGAAACUCCUUCAGAAGCUUUUGUGUCUCCCUCUCUAUAUAAAGUUGAAGAGGAGAGAGCUGGUGUACCUGUUUAGAGUCGUCUAUUUGAGGUACCAUCAUUGUUCUUUGCACGCAUGUAUAUGUUAACAUGGUUAACCUUUAGAGUCCUUGAAUCCAAUCUAUUUUUCUGACAUUUGAACUUGGUGAGGAGGCAUUGUUUCCCCAUGUACUAGAAUGGAGAUAAUUGGUGUGUGUGUAGAGGCCAGAAACAUUACAAGUUGGAGAUUGCAUAUCUUAACAAGGUUAGAUGUCUUUCACUAGAGUAUGUGUCGACUAAAGAUCCAAAUUUUACUAGAACAAUAAAAAAGUUUCUACGUGUAGUUUUUUUUACCUAUUGAGUUUUUUUUUGUAUUUUAAUAUUCAUAUAUAACCUUAGCUAUGUUGUUGAGAACUCCUGUAUAGAUGAUAAUAACACCAUUGGUUUGGUUUGGAUUGUUUUUCACCCAAGUCUGGCGCAGAAGGAGAUUUUAACGCUCUAGACUUUUUGCAGGCUCCAGUUGUCAAUGUAGGAUUUGAUGACAUAAUUUAACGGGGACGAUGAUACUUAUAGGAUUAGGAAGCUUGGCUUAAUGUGGAUCUCUCUUAGCUCCCCCACUGCUACGACUUUUUAAUGUUUGAUUAUUUUCAUACGCAAAAAAUUUAGUCUUACACAUAUAUUGUUAGUCCUUAUGCUAAAAUAAUAAAAUCAACAUUUAUAUGAUUA
Long non-coding RNA from Brassica oleracea var. oleracea, 1740 nucleotides. RefSeq lists it as uncharacterized. The transcript is spliced from 5 exons. The record is from RefSeq and is a predicted model, not a curated record. NCBI's taxonomy places the organism in Eukaryota, Viridiplantae, Streptophyta, Magnoliopsida, Brassicales, Brassicaceae.